RNAcentral lists this ribosomal RNA (274 nucleotides) under uncultured bacterium. Its description in RNAcentral is "partial 16S ribosomal RNA". It matches the Rfam family "Bacterial small subunit ribosomal RNA", at positions 523 to 796 of the family's 1533-position model. The record is from RNAcentral.
AUACGGAGGGUGCAAGCGUUAUUCGGAAUCACUGGGCGUAAAGGACGCGUAGGCGGGUUGGCAAGUCAGAUGUGAAAUCCUACAGCUUAACUGUAGAACUGCAUUUGAAACUGCUAACCUUGAGUAUGGGAGGGGGAGAUGGAAUUAGUGGUGUAGGGGUAAAAUCCGUAGAUAUCACUAGGAAUACCGAAAGCGAAGGCGAUCUCCUGGAACAUAACUGACGCUAAGGCGUGAAAGCGUGGGGAGCAAACAGGAUUAGAUACCCUAGUAGUCC